CCUACGGGUGGCUGCAGUGGGGAAUAUUGGAAAAUGGGCGAAAGCCUGAUCCAGCAAUGCCGCGUGAGUGAUGAAGGCCUUAGGGUUGUAAAGCUCUUUUACCAGGGAUGAUAAUGACAGUACCUGGAGAAUAAGCUCCGGCUAACUACGUGCCAGCAGCCGCGGUAAUACGGAGGGAGCUAGCGUUGUUCGGAAUUACUGGGCGUAAAGCGCACGUAGGCGGUUUUUCAAGUCAGGGGUGAAAGCCCGGAGCUCAACCCCGGAAUUGCGCAUGAAAGUGGAUGACUAGAAUCUUGGAGAGGUCAGUGGAAUUCCGAGUGUAGAGGUGAAAUUCGUAGAUAUUCGGAAGAACACCAGUUGCGAAGGCGACUGACUGGACAAGUAUUGACGCUGAGGUGCGAAAGCGUGGGGAGCAAACAGGAUUAGAUACCCUCGUAGUC
RNAcentral lists this ribosomal RNA (440 nucleotides) under uncultured bacterium. RNAcentral's name for it is "partial 16S ribosomal RNA". It matches the Rfam family "Bacterial small subunit ribosomal RNA", at positions 338 to 795 of the family's 1533-position model. The record is from RNAcentral.